Acyrthosiphon pisum (pea aphid) is the source of this 342-nucleotide long non-coding RNA. RefSeq lists it as uncharacterized. The transcript has 2 exons. NCBI's taxonomy places the organism in Eukaryota, Metazoa, Arthropoda, Insecta, Hemiptera, Aphididae. The record is from RefSeq and is a predicted model, not a curated record.
AUUAUAAUUAAAUAUUUUUGUUUAUUCAGUAUCGACCAAAUCAGUGGGGUUGGGAAAAAGGAGAAGCUCGCUCUACAGCUGCUACCAUUCAUAUGUAAAAAGAAACAAGUAAUGACAUCAUACAAAUAACUGACAACAAAACGUGUUAGGAGUUUGCUGGUUGAAGCUAUAAAUAUGGAAUAUUAAAUUGAUAGGUAGUAUAAAAAGCAUCCAUCAUGGUGAUUUUUGAAAAUAACCAAGGUUUUAGUGAAAAUAUGAACCAUAAAUAUUUAUAUUUUAUUUUGCAUAAUGCAGCUAAUGUUAUUUUCUUACUUCAAUAAAUUAACCUAUUGUUACUUAAAA